Molecule: ribosomal RNA, 275 nt
Filed under: uncultured bacterium
Lineage: Bacteria
Description: partial 16S ribosomal RNA
Rfam family: Bacterial small subunit ribosomal RNA
Source: RNAcentral
CCACGUAGGGAGCAAGCGUUGUCCGGAUUUAUUGGGCGUAAAGAGCUCGUAGGCGGUUUUGUAAGUCGGAUGUGAAAACUCAGGGCUCAACCCUGAGACGCCAUCCGAUACUGCAAUGACUAGAGUCCGGUAGGGGAGCAUGGAAUUCCUGGUGUAGCGGUGGAAUGCGCAGAUAUCAGGAGGAACACCAGUGGCGAAGGCGGUGCUCUGGGCCGGUACUGACGCUGAGGAGCGAAAGCAUGGGGAGCAAACAGGAUUAGAUACCCUAGUAGUCC